Molecule: long non-coding RNA, 724 nt
Organism: Phycodurus eques (leafy seadragon)
Lineage: Eukaryota; Metazoa; Chordata; Actinopteri; Syngnathiformes; Syngnathidae
Exons: 2
Source: RefSeq, a predicted model, not a curated record
UGCGCAGUGCAGGAAAUUUCACGACGCAUUGAGCAGAACGCAGAACUUAACUAGAACUUCCUGCGAAGCUUAAAUCAGAAAUAUGGAUGCAUUUUUGGUUUUGCAGUCAUCAAAAACGAUCAAGGAUAAAGCAUGACGAACAUGCAAAAAAAAUAUUUUUUAAAUGCUGACCGCGGUCCUCUACGACCCGGGGGACACAAGUACUAUGAGAACUUCAAGCUACUUUUGAUGUACAAUCACCGGGAACCAAGACAGAAAGAUGGCGGCACCCUGGCCGACCGGUUAGCACAUCUCCCUCACAGUUCUGAGGACCCGGGUUCCAAUCGGACCUUGCCUGUGUGGACUUUGCAUGUUCUCCCCAUUGCCUGCUUGGGUUUUCUCCAGGUACCACGGUUUCCUCCCAAAUCCCCCCCAAAAACAUGCAGCAGUAGGUUAAUUGAAAACUCAAAUUUGCCCGUAGGUGUGAGUGCGAAUGGUUGUUUGUUUAUACUGUAUGUGUCCUGCGAUUGGCUGGCGACCAGUUCAGGGUGUGACCCUGCCUCUCACCCAGAGUCAGCUGGGAUAGGCUCCAGCACGCCCGCGACCCUAGUGAGGCUAAGCGGUGGAUGGAUGUUAAAACAUAAGUGUAAAGUAACAGAUUGACUACAAACAAAUGAAUAGUGUGAGGAAUGUGCUAAUGACUCUACAGUAUAACUAGGCAUGAAAAUAAAUGAUUUUAACUUCA